Molecule: long non-coding RNA, 213 nt
Filed under: Capsella rubella
Lineage: Eukaryota; Viridiplantae; Streptophyta; Magnoliopsida; Brassicales; Brassicaceae
Description: long non-coding RNA (CRUB_LNC000632)
Source: RNAcentral
AGCCAUUUCCUCCUUCUUGAAUUCCCACAUGCUUUUAUACUCAGCAACAGCCUUCCCAUGAGCAUUACUCUUUUUAGCCUUUGCAGCCUUGACACCUUGAUGUCUUAUCUCACAAUCUUGAACAUUGCUGGUUGCUGAUUGUGAAUCUUCUUCUAGUGGUUUCCUCUUUGUUCUGCCUUUAGGAGUAGGAGUGUUGAUAGUAUUGAGAUUGAG